RNAcentral lists this ribosomal RNA (342 nucleotides) under Triticum aestivum (bread wheat). RNAcentral's name for it is "partial small subunit ribosomal RNA". Lineage: Eukaryota; Viridiplantae; Streptophyta; Magnoliopsida; Poales; Poaceae. The record is from RNAcentral.
AUGGUGCACCUUGCAGUACAUUUACCUGAAGAGGCAUUGCUUCGAGGUCCCGUACAAUAUGGGUGGAUGUACCUAGUUGAAAGAAGGCUAUAUACUUUAAAGCGCUAUGUGAGGAAUAGGGCACGACCAGAAGGCUCGAUUGCUGAAGCAUAUGUUGCGGAUGAGUGCCUGACAUUUUGCUCCAAGUACAUGGAUGAUGUUGAAACAAUAUUUAAUCGGAACCCAAGAAAUAUAGGUUUUUCAGAUGAAGAAGCCUACGGUGUUGAUGUUUUUGGACAUGGAUUUAAUUUUACUUCAGGAUAUGGUUAUGAAUAUGUACAUGCGGAAAAAGAAUUUGAUUAG